This 77-nucleotide transfer RNA is filed under the name Alcanivorax sp. RNAcentral describes it as "tRNA-Arg". It matches the Rfam family "tRNA". From Rfam's summary of the family: Transfer RNA (tRNA) molecules are approximately 80 nucleotides in length. Their secondary structure includes four short double-helical elements and three loops (D, anti-codon, and T loops). The record is from RNAcentral. RNAcentral also lists the same sequence under 2 other names. Lineage: Bacteria; Pseudomonadati; Pseudomonadota; Gammaproteobacteria; Oceanospirillales; Alcanivoracaceae.
GGUCCCGUAGCUCAACCGGAUAGAGCACCUGCCUUCUAAGCAGGGGGUUGUAGGUUCGAGUCCUACCGGGAUCGCCA